Long non-coding RNA from Lepidothrix coronata (blue-crowned manakin), 1034 nucleotides. RefSeq lists it as uncharacterized. The record is from RefSeq and is a predicted model, not a curated record. The transcript has 3 exons. Lineage: Eukaryota; Metazoa; Chordata; Aves; Passeriformes; Pipridae.
UUGGGUCACAACAAGCCCCUGCAGCUCCAGGCUGGGACAGAGCGGCUGGAAAGUGCCUGUUGGGAAAGGCCCUGGGGGCGCUGGUGCCAGGGGCUGGACAUGAGCCCAGGGGUGGAGUAGCAAGCAUGUGGUGGGGUGUACAUAUGAGCACCACCUCUUACCAGCCUCCUCCUGGACCCCCAAAAUUCCCCUUCCCACCUCCCCAGGUGCUGGAUGAGGCCAUCACAGAACACCAACUGACCUGCCAAGUGCGUGGGGGUUGGGUUGGGAAUCAUCCAUACUCAUAGAACCUGCACAGGACAGGCCAGGACGGAAGUGAAGAGCCAAGACUGUGGAUUCCUGCAAAGAGCCCUAACCCAUGUGGGUCAGGAGCUCACUGGACGGUGCAUCUUCAUCGCUCCUGGACAUCUGGUCGUGAUCCGUCUUCCCUCCUGAAGGGUCCUGUGCAAUCCCGCUGGAAACUUGUGAGCAGCACUUGGAGUUUGUUAAACAGCCCCAGUACAUCUUCCCUCGCAGCACCCCGUGCCACACUUUGAUUUGCCUGACAGUUAUACAGCCACCCAGGGCUCGCUUUAAUCUCAGUAGCAGCCUAAAGUAUUUUUCAAGCUGGAGCGUUUCUGUUUUAUGACUGUCCAAAUGCUGCAAUGUUCUGCUGGUAUUACUGUAAAAAUCCAGGGGAAAAAAGCUUAAGCUGAAUUAAUUCUGUGCAGAUUGUGAUUCUCCAUGGGUCAACUCAAUUCUUAGUGCUGACUCAAUCAAAUUUGGCCCCCUCUGCCUGCAGACAGUGGGUUACGGCCCCAGUUUCAAGUCCGGGGGCUGAUCUCUCAGGUAUUAUACAAGGAGGUAUUUUGCCUGGGAGGCACCACAUCUCACUCUGCUUUUGAAACUCUCCGGUUUUAAAACACUGGAAGUACCUCGUGCUCAUGCCAGUUGAACCAAUCCUGCCAUCCAUGGUCAGCUGGGACCCCACAGUGACUGGGGCUGGUUGGAAAUUAAAGUUUGGUAAAUCCCACAGCACUUUGCAGUGUAUUUCG